GACGAACGCUGGCGGCGUGCUUAACACAUGCAAGUCGAACGGUGAACUCCGCUUGCGGGGGAUCAGUGGCGAACGGGUGAGUAACACGUGGGCAACCUGCCCUCAGCUCUGGGAUAACUCCAAGAAAUUGGGGCUAAUACCGGAUAUGACCGCUGACCGCAUGGUCUGGUGGUGGAAAGAUUUAUCGGCUGGGGAUGGGCCCGCGGCCUAUCAGCUUGUUGGUGGGGUAGUGGCCUACCAAGGCGACGACGGGUAGCCGGCCUGAGAGGGUGACCGGCCACACUGGGACUGAGACACGGCCCAGACUCCUACGGGAGGCAGCAGUGGGGAAUAUUGCGCAAUGGGCGAAAGCCUGACGCAGCGACGCCGCGUGGGGGAUGACGGCCUUCGGGUUGUAAACCUCUUUCAGCGGGGACGAAGCGAAAGUGACGGUACCUGCAGAAGAAGCACCGGCCAACUACGUG
This 464-nucleotide ribosomal RNA is filed under the name uncultured bacterium. Its description in RNAcentral is "partial 16S ribosomal RNA". It matches the Rfam family "Bacterial small subunit ribosomal RNA", at positions 28 to 507 of the family's 1533-position model. The record is from RNAcentral.